Molecule: ribosomal RNA, 432 nt
Filed under: uncultured bacterium
Lineage: Bacteria
Description: partial 16S ribosomal RNA
Rfam family: Bacterial small subunit ribosomal RNA
Source: RNAcentral
AACGAACGCUGGCGGCAUGCCUAACACAUGCAAGUCGAACGAGACCUUCGGGCCUAGGGGCGCACGGGUGCGUAACGCGGGGGAACCUGCCCUUAGGUUCGGAAUAACUCCCCGAAAGGGGUGCUAAUACAGGAUAAUGUCAUCGGAGAAAAGAUUUAUCGCCUUUGGAUGGGCCCGCGUUGGAUUAGCUAGUUGGGAGGGUAAAAGCCUACUAAGGCGACGAUCCAUAGCUGGUCUGAGAGGAUGCUCAGCCACACUGGGACUGGGACACGGCCCAGACUCCUACGGGCGGCAGCAGUGGGGAAUAUUGGACAAUGGGCGAAAGCCUGAUCCAGCAAUGCCGCGUGAGUGAUGAUGGCCUUAGGGUUGUAUAUCUCUUUUCCCGGGAUGAUAAUGACAGUACCGGGAGAAUAAGCUCCGGCUAACUCCGUG